This is a small nucleolar RNA of Hevea brasiliensis (rubber tree), 106 nucleotides long. RefSeq annotates it as small nucleolar RNA snoR97. The record is from RefSeq and is a predicted model, not a curated record. The transcript has a single exon. NCBI's taxonomy places the organism in Eukaryota, Viridiplantae, Streptophyta, Magnoliopsida, Malpighiales, Euphorbiaceae.
CUUUUAUCCUUUAUAAUGGAGUGACAAACUCAGACAUUGUGUGUUGUCAUCAGCUUCAUCUACCAUACGACCGACGAUAUUGGAGUUAAAUAACAGCACUGCAUUU